CACUGAUUCAAAGCACUCUCAGCCACUCAUUAGUGCAGUGGUUCACCAAAGGUGGUCCUGGGACCAGCAGCAUCAGCGUCACCUGGGAAUUGUUAGAAAUGCAAAUUCUUAGAUUCCCUCCAAGCCUACUAAGUUAGGUGGAUCCCAGCAAUCUGUGUUUUAACAAGCUCUCCAGGUGAUUCUGAGAAACACAGCUCUAGAAGGAGCCCAGGUGAACGUUGAAAAGGGUAGUAAGCAAGAGCUGGCAGUCUUUCUGGGUUGCAAUGAGAGUCGUGGGGAGGCUGGGGAGGUAUGUCCUGGCCUGUCUGGGGUAUUGGCUUUGAAGAGGCCCUAAGGCAUCUUUCCAGUGUAUGUUGCAUCCUAGGAGGAGAAGUCCCAUCCAGAAAGAGGAGCCAUGGCCAACCAAGGAUAGCAGGGCAUCCCGGACCCAAAGAGAUCCAGAUCCUGGGCCCUGCUGUGUGAAAUGAGUUACAAAAAUAGAAGAGAAAGGUCGAAAUUGAGCCUCCGUGUAAAAUCACAUUAUCAUUGAUCUGGUGGUCACAGGAGAUAUGCUGUAAGCUAUUUUUCCAGCAAGUGGAAAAAACCAAGCUGCCCUGUGGCCUCCCUUUGCGCAGGGCAUCUCAUGCCUGGGGCACCUUCCUCUCUAGGGGGUUGGCAUCCCUUGGCCUCCUACUUUCCUCUCCCCACAGACGGGAACAGGGGUGUGGUGUGCUUGUCCCUCUGGUUUUGAGAGCACAGAGCACUAAAUGGUCUGGGCAGGGCCAGCUCUGUGGGCAUGUGACCUGUGAGUCACACAGAGCCCACGCUCAGAAGAGCCUAUGCUUGGUUUAAUGCCCUGCUGUCACUAUCUUAAAAUUCUCAAUUUUUCAACAAGGGGCCUCGUAUUUUAAUUUUGCGCUGGACUUAAUGCAACUGGUUCCGCAUCUUGGUCAGGAUGGGGUAGCCCUGGCUUGGGGGACUUGUCCAGCUGCACUGUGGUGGACCCAGGUCCAUUUCAACCUUUGAAAUCAAGUGU
Molecule: long non-coding RNA, 1015 nt
Filed under: Equus caballus (horse)
Lineage: Eukaryota; Metazoa; Chordata; Mammalia; Perissodactyla; Equidae
Description: lncRNA (ENSECAG00000051730.1)
Source: RNAcentral